This 227-nucleotide long non-coding RNA is filed under the name Brassica rapa (field mustard). RNAcentral describes it as "long non-coding RNA (BRAP_LNC007500)". The record is from RNAcentral. Lineage: Eukaryota; Viridiplantae; Streptophyta; Magnoliopsida; Brassicales; Brassicaceae.
ACAGUUUACGUUGAAACUUUGUAUUCAUGUUAUAUAUAACAUAUUAUGGUUAGUUGAUACAUGUUUGGUUAACUGUUACAAAAUAUGUUAUCGCUUUUUACAUUGUUUGGUAAAAUUGUUAAAGUAGCAAUCAUCUAUUACAGAGCUGAGGUGUUGGCUGUUAAAUAGUUUAUCUUGGCUGUUAAAUAGUUUGUUAGAUGCUAUGAAAUAAGUUAGUAGGUUAAAAC